Helianthus annuus (common sunflower) is the source of this 3043-nucleotide long non-coding RNA. RefSeq lists it as uncharacterized. The record is from RefSeq and is a predicted model, not a curated record. The transcript has 3 exons. NCBI's taxonomy places the organism in Eukaryota, Viridiplantae, Streptophyta, Magnoliopsida, Asterales, Asteraceae.
CUUUCUCUCUCACAUCUCACACAUCUCACACAUCUCACAAGCUUCAUCAAACCUUCUCUCUCGGGCGACUCAAGAACAUCAUCCACCUUUGUCUCUCACAUCUCACACUUGAUUCCAAAUUUUAAGCAAGUAAAGGGUGUAGCAACAUCAGUCCCUAUCAGUACCAUCUACCGUCGGAUUUCAUAUAGAUUUGUAGGCGGAUAUGUUUAACAGUGAUGAUUUGGGUUCUGAUUUGUGACUGCAGGGUUUGAUAAGUGGAGAUUCCGGUGGUGGAAGCUUUGAAGAUCGACAGUGACAAAGGCGGUUAGGGUUCCGGCCGCGAAACCGGCUUUCUGGGGUUUAAUCAUUGAUGUUCAUCAUUCGGAUCUCCAACGAGGAUCUAUGACUGUAGAUUAUUAAAAAUUUGUUCCAGCAAUCUACACAGUGUUUAACUGUCUUAGGUGGUAAGCUGGUUUAUCAGACCAAAAUGAGGGCAACUGGACCUAAAUGUCUUGUUACUUUGGAGAGGAUCCAAGGGAUAUGAUUGUUUCUUUUAGUUUAAUGUCAUCAGAUUUGCAUAAUUUAAACAGUAUUAUAUACAACCAUGAUAUAUUGCUAAGACCAUAUGCCUAUGAUUGAGUGAUUAUUUGAUUUAAAUCAAGUGUUUGGAUCAAUUUUAAUAUAGGGAAGUCUAUUGUCUUUUUUGAGUUUACUGGUUUCAAUUUAAUGUGGAGAUUAAUUUGUAUUAGAAAUUGAAAAAGGGCUAAAAGAAAGAGCUUUUAAAUUAUUGUUGUUAUUAAGAUUGUUAUGUUCUACAAAGGGAAAAAACAUUUAACUUAUUAUUGGUUGUAUCUUGUGGCUUCAUGAGUACGUAUCCGGUACUUUUUGUCUGUUCAUAAAGCUUAAAAUUAUAGCUUCUAACCUAUCUUCUUCUUCUUCUUCUUUUUUUCAUUUCAUACAUUUAUAUUGGAUUCUUUGUACUCAUUGGUUUCAAGUGGAAAUCAUGAUGAUACAAACAAUGCCUUUCAACAAAGUCAUGUGUAGUAUAACCAUUAUAAAUAAGCAUAUGUGAAGAAUAAUCGUUUUAUCGUGGACUGUUGUUCGUGAGAAUAAACUUGAAAUGUGUUUUAAGUAGUCCUCAAACUUUUUACAUUUUUGGCAACUUGAAAUGAGUCAAGCAGUGGUUGGUAAGUAUGGGGUUUUCUUGCUGAAUUCAUGUGGGGUUUUAAGUGUAUUUCGCUAAAUCUUGUUGCAGGUUGAAUUGGGUAUCUGCUAAGCAAACUAUAUGUUAAGCCUGUUGCGUAAGCUGGAAUUGGCACUGUGGCUUCUGGAGUUGCAAAGGGUAAUGCUUAUAUCAUACAGGUGCUUGAUUUUGUUCUAUCAAUGGGUGGGUUGGCAAGUAAAUGUGCUAAGUUAUGUUGGGUCGGGUCAGGUAGAGUUGGGUUGACUUCAAUUAGGGCAUUUCAGAUUGGGUUGACCCACAUAUACUUUUUGUUCAUCUCAUGUCUUUUUCAGUUUAUGUGUAUUAAAUAUGAUUAGAAAAGAUAUUAUUACAAUAAUAAUUCUCAGUUUGUAUGUUUUUUAAUAAAACAGAUUAGUAGGUUAUAUGCUUUUAAAAAGAGCCUGGUCAUGCUUGCUUACCUAUAUUCAAGAAGUAAAAUUCAUGCAAAAUAUAUGUUUAAAAAGUAAAACUUAAGAAGCCAGGUCUCCUUAACUUGUGAAAGGCCCUACAAUGGCCCUUUUUCACAUCUCUGAUUAUAGAUUUGAAUUGUUCUGAAAUUAAGUUUACAUAUAUUUAAUAUUUUUUUUUGUUUAUUUACCAUUAUUAUUGAAUGUUCUAAAAAUAAUGGCCAGAAUCCGAACUUAGAAGUAAGUGGAAUUCCUCUGCAUCCUCCUAAAAAACCAGAGAAACAUCAAGAAAACGCAGACUCAAGAAAAAGGUUUCUUGAAUCAUCAAAAUAGUAGCAUUUUUUCUAUUUUUAAUCACUCUAAAUUCACGUGUUCAACUCCGUGUUUCACCAUCACUAAAAUUAAGGCUAGCUCAACUUGAACAUAUCUUCAACGUUCUGGAUCAUAGGUUUUUAUUUAUAUUUUCUGUCAAUGUGUGUGUAGUGUUUGUGUUUGGAAUUGAAUUGUAUACUUUAACACAUAAAUAGUUUGUAUACUUCUAAGUUUUUUUACAUAAGUUAGUUCUAAACCGAGACGAUUACAGACAAAUGAGAAAAAACGGAUGCACAAGGCUAUUAUUUUGUUGCUGUGAAAUUGAGUCUCAUAAGUAAUGUCAUAUAAGUUAGUUUUCUUACAUCAUGAAUGGUUAAUUCUAUUUUUUAUGCAGAUAUCAGACCGGACUUGAGGUUGGCCAUACUUUGGUCUGAGAAGAUUUACAAGUUGGCUUUAAUUGUGUUUUCAAAUUCGACGCACCUGUGUUACAUAUCACCUCUUUUACCCUUUGGAUAAAAAUACCUUAAGCGCCCAUAUAUAAAUCCACUCGACUACUAACUUCAUCUGUUGGGAACUUUCUUUUAUCAUUUGUGUUAUAUCAAUUUCUCUAAGUUUAAUUUUCUUUUGUACAUUUAGGAACCGGAAGAACCUCCACACCAAGUUCUUGUCUUCUUACGUGUUGUAUUUUUGCUUCUGUAAUGUCGCUGGUUUUUUCUGUACAUAGUAACUGGUAUGUUUAUUGUCUUCUUACGUUUUGUAUUUUUGCUUCUGUACACGAGCUUGCGAGAGGAAGUUGAUUCUAAAGGCUAAUGUUUCUUUUAAUGUGGAGUCCUCGCGGACGUUCACUUUCUGUUUGUUAAUCGACAUAUGACGUAAGUGAUUGUCCCUGUCCGCAUACUUCUGACUACGCUCAUGUCAUUAGACAGACUACAUCACUUUUGGGAAGCUUGGCUAAAUGAUCUCAUUCUGUUCUACCCACGAUUCCCUAAAUAGAAACCAACCAAAGUAGGAAUAUCUCCUCAUAUGGUGUGUAAAUUAGAGGAAAUCAUAUUUUUUGUAUCAAUCUCUGUACUCUCUAUGCUAAAUUGUAAUUUAAAAGACUUAAUUUAUUUGGGUAUGUUUA